UGGGGAAUAUUGCACAAUGGGCGCAAGCCUGAUGCGGCCAUGCCGCGUGUGUGAAGAAGGCCUUCGGGUUGUAAAGCACUUUCAGCGAGGAGGAAGGUGGUGGACUUAAUACGUUCAUCAAUUGACGUUACUCGCAGAAGAAGCACCGGCUAACUCCGUGCCAGCAGCCGCGGUAAUACGGAGGGUGCAAGCGUUAAUCGGAAUUACUGGGCGUAAAGCGCACGCAGGCGGUUUGUUAAGUCAGAUGUGAAAUCCCCGGGCUCAACCUGGGAACUGCAUUUGAAACUGGCAAGCUAGAGUCUCGUAGAGGGGGGUAGAAUUCCAGGUGUAGCGGUGAAAUGCGUAGAGAUCUGGAGGAAUACCGGUGGCGAAGGCGGCCCCCCUGGACGAAGACUGACGCUCAGGUGCGAAAUCGUGGGGCAGCAAACAGGAUUAGAUACCCUGGUAGUCCACGCUGUAAACGAUGUCGAUUUGGAGGUUGUGCCCUUGAGGCGUGGCUUCCGGAGCUAACGCGUUAAAUCGACCGCCUGGGGAGUACGGCCGCAGGGUUAAAACUCAAAUGAAUUGACGGGUCUAGCU
Molecule: ribosomal RNA, 579 nt
Filed under: uncultured bacterium
Lineage: Bacteria
Description: partial 16S ribosomal RNA
Rfam family: Bacterial small subunit ribosomal RNA
Source: RNAcentral